Vespa velutina is the source of this 6165-nucleotide long non-coding RNA. RefSeq lists it as uncharacterized. The transcript has 3 exons. The record is from RefSeq and is a predicted model, not a curated record. NCBI's taxonomy places the organism in Eukaryota, Metazoa, Arthropoda, Insecta, Hymenoptera, Vespidae.
GUCAAACACUUUCGAUGAAGGAUCGGCUCGGCCACGUUUGAUCGUAUUGCUUUGAAAACAUGUUAACGUCUCGUCCGAUUGUAUUUAAUCUUGUUGGAUUUAUUGGAUAGAAUUCAGGACAACGAUCGAUGACACACGAAAGCGUCGACUUUAUCGUUUAAGCAAAAUUAAUAGCUUCAUUGCGGAAGAGAGAUGUAAAGAGGAAACCAUCCCCCACCAUCACCCCCACACUCCCCAUGAACAUCUACCUCUUCUCGUUGGAAUUGCAAAUGAUAUUUUGUUAGAAAAGGAAAAAGAGAAAAAAGAAAAUUUAAAAGAGUGAUAGAUCGAGGUUGUCUGGCGUGGUUAUCGAUUGCACGAUCUCGGAAGGAACGAUUUACGAAUUGUUAGGUAAAUCGACGUGUUAUCAAUACUGUAUACAAAGUAAUACGAUAUAUGUAUGUCCAACGGAGCUUACAUCCGGUUUUGGAAUCAAAGCUAUUGUAAUUCCUAUGAACGAAAAUAGAAAUCGUGUUAAUCGUUUGACUAUGUGUAAUCGAAAUAGGAUAUGGAUUAUACUUGAUGUUUACAUUCAGAUAGUUACAAUGAAUAUUGGCUAUUGCACGAAUAGUAAUAGGAUAUAUCGACGAAAUUAAUUAAUCUUUUUUACUCGUAAAACGUUUUCUAAUCGUAAAAUCUUUCGUGUAUCGGCAUACAUAAAUAAUAAUUGUUUGUACGAAUAUAUUCUCAAAAUUAUGUCUUCUAUAAUAUAAAAUUAUCGAGAUAAAUAUUAAAUUUAUUUAUUUAUUUAUUUAUUUAUUUAUUUAUUUAUCUAUAAAAUAGAAUCGUUUAUAGAAUAUUGUCUUUAUCACGAAUAAGAUAAUAAUUCCUGAGAAACCUCCUACGAGAAAUGGUACCUUGAAAAACAUUGAUGUUUGUCCUUUGGGUGUACUCACUUUGUCAGUGUGUUCUUCUCCACUAUGCGAUUUACCUUCGUGACACAGGUGAAUUCCAAGUGGUGAAGUCAGCACCACAGAGUCACGGAAGAUUAAGCUUUCGAAAGCACCGAAAGGUCUAUCGUGCGGAAGCUGUAAUCGCCCUAAAAGAGACGGAAAAGGAUUGAAGCAUACCGAGGUCAAGUGUCUUUUGGAUUAAAAGAACUUGUCCUAUGCUUCCUUUUAAAGGGAGCACCGCGAAAGGAAAAAGAGAGCGAGAGAGAAAGAGAGAGAGAGAGAGAGAAAGGAAGGGAAAUAAAAAAAUAAAUAUGCAAAUAAAAAAUCGUUUUUUUUAACACGACAUGUAAUAUUAUACCUAAAUAAAAAUACAUUUGCACUUUCAAUCUACGAAAUUGCUUUCCUUUGAAUAAAAAAAAUAACAAUUGCAUUCGUGUUACAACAAGAGAGAGAGAGAGAGAGAGAGAGAGAGAGAGAGAUGAAACGUUUUGGAUAGUAGACUUUUCCUGCUUCUUUUUUUCUUCUUUUUCUUUUUCUUUUUUUCUUUUUUUUUUUUUUGUUCUUCUGUUUUUUUCGAAAAAAUACUCGCGAUUUCGUGGCUCUCGAAUCUUCACAAAUUGUGACUUCGUUCCUCUGACGACUUUCACAUCGCUGAACUUCGAAGCUCGUAAACAACGAGUUUUAAUUUGCUUCGUUCGUCCACCAUUUCGACUUCUCUCGUCGGAUUAAAUACGACCAUUUUCUACUUGUUCACAAUAUGGUAUCGAAAUUCUCGUUUUUUCGAAUGUUAACAUUAUCGGGUCAUUGGAUUUUUUUCCAAAUUAAAACUUUUAUCUCUUUCGUUUCUCGCGAUACGAUGAUAGAAGAUAGAAGCUACGUAAAGGAAAAGGCGGGAAAAAAAAAGAAAAAGAAUGAAAAAAAAAAAAAAAGAAAAAAUAAAAGAAAAAAAGAAAUAAGAAAUAAGAGAAAAGUGAUAUGCAACAAUAAAAAAACAAAAAAAAAAAAAAUAACGAUUCGAAUUCAUUUCAGGCUUAUCUCAUUGAAAAAAAAGAAAUGUAUUAACUGAUGUAUUAAUCCCUUUUAAUAGGAAAAACUUCGAUAGAUUCGUGAUGUUUCGUUUCUUUCGUUAUCGUUAUCAUUUCGAAUAACGAUACCAACCAUUAUCAUAGAAUUUUUCUAUCGAUUAUCCUUUUAAUCGAUAACACAUCAUUCCGUUGUCUAUCGAAUUUAUUACGAAAAUAAAAGUCGUUUAUUUUUUAACAAUCAAUCACGCCAACGAAAAGAAGGAUAGAAUGGGGGAAAAAAAGAAACAAAAAAGAAGAAAAAAAAAAACAAACAAACAAACAAAAAUUGGAAACUUUCUAACUCUUACUUAUCGUGAAUUUCAUUGAACGUCGUAAGUUUUCGUUCUAACAGUCAACGAUCCCAUUUACGUGAGAGCGUUCUAUCUCAUACUCCUUAGAAAAUUGGUUUCAAUUAAACUGAUAAGUUAGUUCGAGAAAAGUUAUCAGAAUCGUCCGUGCAUCUCGCGAGAGAGUCUCUUUGCAGUAAUGAGCGAACGAUUCAGCUAGCGCUAAUGCAUUCUUCCCUCCCCCCCUCCCUCCCUCCCUUCCUCCCUCCUCAUUCCUGUGAAUAAAACAAAAGCUUUAGAUAUUCGUCCAGAGCUAUCUUUUAUUGGAUUAUGCAAAAAAGGAUUUUCUCACGUAGUUACGACGUUGAAAUGUGAUUUUAUUCGUUUAAACAGUGAAAUUUGUACAAUUUGAUCUUACUCCAUUUCUCUUAUUGUCGUAAGAUUCCUGAUUUUUCUUUAAAUUCGUUUUUCUUCCUCUUUCUCUCUCUCUCUCUCUCUCUCUCUCUCUCUCUCUCUCUCUCUCUGUUUUCUUUCUUUCUUUUUUCCUACCUUUGGCUCGCGAAAAAAAAUGUUCACAUCGAAAAUUCGGUCCUCGUUCUUAAUAAAAGGAAAAGAAAAAGGAAAAAAGAAAAGGAAAAGAAAAAAAAGAAAAUGAGGUCGAAUUUGUAAAAUCGAUUAUACUCGUAAGAAAGGAAUAAAGAUCCCUUAGAGAAAAAUUAAAGCGUAAAGCUCCUUACGGGAGCUUGGACUUUCACGUGUGAGUGCAUCUUCCACCUCCUUGAUUGUAUAGGUCGUAGCAUAAACUUGAAAUCUCCAUAUUGUCGUCGCCAACCAUUUCGUAUGAGCGCCCUCUCAUGUAAAUCCAUAUGGAACUUUAUACGCGUUUACGCGUAUCGCGCGAAAACAGAUUUUCCGGUCACCGAACGAAUCCUGGAUCUUGUUUCGUAAGGCUCCUAAGUACAAACUUCCCAUUUCUUCCACUUUGAGAAAGGACGCGUGGAAAUCUUCUUAGGGAAUAAGCUGGAUAAGUGGACGAUGAAAUUGGAAGGGUCAUCGUUCCGAAGUAAAUCGCGUUUAGGUUGCGUCUAAGGACGAUAGUCCCAAGUAGAAUCGAUAUUGAAAAUGAAAAAUAUUUCGAAAGUGAAAAUCGAACGUUAACGUUCGAUUUUCGAUAUUAAAGUCAAUCGAUAUAUAUUUUUUUCUCUUCUAUAAUAGAUAACUAUGGAAUUUAUUUUUAUAUUUUUUUUUAUCUCUGAAAAUCUAUCUAAUGUACGAUUUUUAAGCGUUUUAUUAUCGUCACUUUAAUAUAAUACUAUUCAUCGAAUAAUUCGAUUUUUAUACGAUUUAUCGUUAUACUUAUUUAACUGUUCAUUUAUUCACACAUGUAAAAGAGAUUUUUAAUUUUUCUCGAAUAUUAUCUCAAAAAAAAAAAAAAAAAACAAAAAAGAAAAAAAAUAAGGAAAGAAAAGGAAAGAAUGUCAUAAAAUAAUUCUUUAUAAUAUCUAAAAAAAUUCAAUAGACAGUGGUUAACGAUGAUUUACACGAUGAUAAAUUUACAUCGAGCAUAAACAAAUUCAACAAAAGCUAAUUUUGAUUUGAUUGGAUAUUCAUUUAACGUUUAAUAUCACAAAACAUGAAGAAACGAAAAAUUUCUCUUUACGAUUCUUAAGGUUUACAUUUACAGUUGGCGCGAUGUAAACGAAACAAUGAUGACGUUGGAACAACUAGAGCGGAAAACCGAAUACUUCUAGGACGUAUCUCGUUGUUCACGAUUUAGGUCAUUAAAUAGCUGUUUCGUUACUCUCAGGAUACUUUAGAUAGCGCGUCCUACUUCCUGCUAUCCUGCGAGACCACCGCAUCGUGAAGUAUAAUUAAUCAAAAAACGCUUGGCGCGGAAUCGCAGCUUUGCGUACGUAUAUGUGUAUUUAGUUUUCUAUAUUCAUCUAUGUAGGUGAGUUUGGUUAGUCGAGUAUGUGAAACGUGAAUGAUGGAUUCGGUAAAUGCGACGAGAUAUGACGUUGACUUUGUAAUAAUUUAAGUAUCGAACGUUUUUUUCCCUUUCUCUUUCUUCCUUUCUUUCUAUCUUUCUCUUUUUCUCGCCCAUUUCUCUCCCAUAUUUUUUUAUUUUAAAAUCAUACGACAAGUAUGAAAGGACAUAUAAGAGAAAAAUAAAAGAUAAUGAAAAAUCACAAUUUGUUCGUAUCGUAUUUUACAAAAGUACAACCGCAACGUUGCGAUUGGACUUUCACCUCUCCCUCUCCUACCUAUCCUCGUUCCUCGUUCGAAGAAAAAAAAGAAAAAAAAGAAAAAAAAACCUUAAGAAAUAUGGAACGAUUACAUAUUACAAAAAUUAAUUUGCAUAAUUAAUUUCUAUAUCUUGUAAUAAAAAAAAGAAAAAAAAACCAACAGAAAAAUAUUUUACGUAACAUGUGAAAAUUAAAUUAAAGAUUAUUUUAUUUACAGCAUGUAAAUGAUACAUAUAUAUAUCUUUAAUAAGAGAUUCAUUGAAAACAUCGUACUAUUAUGUUUUUCAUAAGUUCCAUUCAAUUCAAGAUUGACUUUGUCAAGGUUAGCAAUAUUCUAUAACCUUUAUAUACAUAAUAUAAACAAAGUCUGGAUAGUUUAGACGACCGAUUAGAAAUAUGAAAGUCGAACGUCGUCAGUCUAUUGCUUAUCUUCGUAGUGAAUGUCACGCGUCACAUAUUCUCCCGGUUUACAUUCGUCGCUUGAACAUAAUCAAGAUCAUAGUGUUUCAUCGACCACGUUACAUACGCUAGACUGCUCGAGAAGUAAUACUAUUAAAUCUAUAUAGUACACCAUAAAUCUAAAACCAUAAAACUUAUAUCGAUUAUUAUUGUAUAUUAUAUAUAUAUAUAUAUACAGUUUCUUUUUUUUUUGUGUAAAUUGUUAUUUCUAAGACCGUUUGAAAGUAUUGGUCGUAUGAUUCUCUAGACUUAUAUAUAUUUUUCUCUUAUAUGACAUAUCCCAUCAUGCGGUCAACGAUUACUUCUACAACUAUUAAUAUCGUAGUAUUGAGCUUGAAACGAUGGUCAAGGAUCAAGUAUGAAGAAAUAAGGUCCAUUUCUUCAACCCCCCACCCCCACCUCCGCCCCCACCACUUUUCAUCGUUCGAAAAAUAUCGAGAGAAAAAUGAAGGAAAAGAAUGCAACAUCUCGGGAAAGCUCAACACUCGGUUCCACGGUUGGGUCAACAGGCCGUCGAAAGGAUAUAAUCGAGAGCAGAGAGUAGAACACUUCGCUUUCGACUUUACUUUCGAUUCCAUUAUUCCUUUGGAUAUCCAGAGAAAACGGAUUGGUAGUUGAGAGUAGUUGUAGUAGCAGUAAUAGUAGCAGUAGUAGCAAUAGUCGAACUCAAAGUCGCGUCUUUCCCUUAUUCAUGCGGAUUAUCGGAUACUUCCUCUUUUCCUGGAGCCUAGUAACUAUGGAUUUGUUCAGCCUUUUUGGUUAUAUAACUGGACUACGAGUUGAUACUCUCUCUCUUUCUCUCUCUCUCUCUCUCUCUCUAUCUCUCCUAGGUUUCCUAAGAAGUUAAUACCAAAAUCUUUUCGUUACUACUGAUUCAAACGAACUACAUUUUCCACCGUAGAUUUUGUCCUGGAAAAGCUGAAAUUCGACGACGAAUGAGCGAGAAAAAGAGAAAAAAGAGAGAGAGAGAAAGAAAGAGAGAGAGAGAGAGAGAGAGAGAGAGAAUGACUUCUAUAUCUUGACCUCGGUUUUGCCAGGUUUCACCAGUUUCUCUGGUGGCAAUGCCAUCGGAAAACUCGAUUUCGAGUGCUCUUCCUCGAGGAACCCCUCUGGCUAUUCCCUCUUCCUCUUUCACUAUCCACUUCUAUCUCUACCUACCUAUAUAUCUAUCUGCCUA